Eubalaena glacialis (North Atlantic right whale) is the source of this 296-nucleotide long non-coding RNA. RefSeq lists it as uncharacterized. Lineage: Eukaryota; Metazoa; Chordata; Mammalia; Artiodactyla; Balaenidae. The record is from RefSeq and is a predicted model, not a curated record. The transcript is spliced from 3 exons.
AGGGGCGGGAGCAUGUCUCCCUCCUGGCUGACCAAAGACGGACGACGGGAGUUCUAGAGGCUGGGAAGUCCACGAUCAAGGUGCUGGCAGAUGGCAGAUUCAGUGUCUGUUGUUUGUUUUGUUUUUGGCCGCGCAGCAGGGCAUGUGGGACCUUAGUUCCCGACUUGGGAUCGAACCCGCGCCCCCUGCAGUGGAAGCGUGGAGUCUUAACCACUGGACCACCAGGAAAGUCCCUUGCCCACCAGUUUUAUUGAGAUGUAAUUGACAUACUAUUUGUUGUUUUUUAAAUGUGGUUA